Molecule: long non-coding RNA, 1443 nt
Organism: Antechinus flavipes (yellow-footed antechinus)
Lineage: Eukaryota; Metazoa; Chordata; Mammalia; Dasyuromorphia; Dasyuridae
Exons: 2
Source: RefSeq, a predicted model, not a curated record
GAAGCCCUGUCUCAGAGGCAAGACAAGAUUCAUUCCAACUUUCACCUUGGUGUUGGCUGGAGACCUUUGGAAGAAGAGAAGCCGAAGCUAGCAGAGGCAAAAGAUUAGCAGCAAGAGCUUUUGGAACCAAGCAGAGAGAUAGGUCUCUAAGAAAACUGACCAGGCUAUUUUGGAGGAAGCAAUAAAAGAUCUGAACUUUUAACACCUGCUGCAUUUGGAGUUAUUAUUACUUUCAACUGAAACUAAGGCUGCCUCCAGAAAACCUCCCCAAGAAACCUGCUCCCAGAGAAAAACAUUAUAUUUUAAAGAAGAGAACACCACAAACAUUUGCUCAUCUAUAACAACACAAGAUACCAUAAACAUAUUUUUUAAAAGGGCAUUUGGUCUUAAGUGAUUUAGUCCAUAAUGCAACCAUUCUGCUAUGGCUUAACAUCUCUCUCCUGAGAGACAUCCAUUUCCUAAAAUAAGCAAAGAAAACAGAUGCAAAUAACAGCUGUUCUGUGAUAUGAUAAUCAGUUGAUCAAUAAGUGUUUAGUAAACUUCUACAAUGAACAUAGCAAUUUGUAAUGUCUUCAAGAUAGAAAAAGAAGCAAAAAAAUAGGUUCCAAUCUCAAGGAACUCAAAAGUGAAUGGAGCAGAAACAUUGAGGAAAAACAACAAGGACAAAACUAAACAAAACAAAACAAAAACAAGGACAUCCAAGAAAAAUAAAAUUAUGGAAAAAAAAAAAGUUAACCAAGUAGAAAAGGAGGUGCAGAGUCUCAAAGAUUAAAAUAACUCUGUGAAAAUUAUAAUUGGGCAAGGGGAAAUCAGUCAAACUAUGAGAGACCAAGAAAUAACAAAACAGAUUAUAAGGAAUAAAAAAUUAGAACAAAGUGAAGCAUAAGAAAAAUGCCAGAUCUGGAGAACUGAUUGAGGAGAAAAUAUAAGAAAAUUUGGACUGCCUAAAAGUUGUGACCAAAUAAAAAGACCUUGACACAGAAAUGCAAGAAAUAAUCCAAGAAAAUUGUCCUGGAGUAAUAGAAUAUAAGGGGAAAGUAAAAAUAGAAAAAAAUUCCACCAAUCACCAUCUCAAAGGAAUCCUCUGUGCAAAACAUAUAGGAACAUUACUGCCAAAUUUUGAAACUUCCAGAUUAAAAAGAAUAUUCUGAACUAAAGAAGAAAAAAAAAAUCAAAUAUGAUGGAACUACAACUGGAAUUAUACAGGAUUUAUCAGCAGCCACAAUAAAAGAUUGCAGGUCCUGGAAUCUCAUCUACCAACAAUCAAAAGAACGAGGUCUGCAGCCAAAAAUAUCACAAUCAGCAAAAUUAUCUAUAAUUUUAAAUGAGAAAAAAUGGACAUUCAAUAAACUUGCAGAUUUUCAGGACCUUCUAUCAACCAUGCCUGAACUUAAUAGAAAAUUUAAUAUAUAAGAGCCAAUAUUAAAGAUCAGUUUCAAGAAA